RNAcentral lists this ribosomal RNA (861 nucleotides) under uncultured bacterium. Its description in RNAcentral is "bacterial SSU rRNA". It matches the Rfam family "Bacterial small subunit ribosomal RNA", at positions 8 to 916 of the family's 1533-position model. The record is from RNAcentral.
AGAGUUUGAUUCUGGCUCAGAACGAACGCUGGCGGCAGGCCUAACACAUGCAAGUCGAGCGCACUCUUCGGAGUGAGCGGCGGACGGGUUAGUAACGCGUGGGAACAUACCCUUUUCUACGGAAUAGCCUCGGGAAACUGAGAGUAAUACCGUAUACGCCCUUCGGGGGAAAGAUUUAUCGGAGAAGGAUUGGCCCGCGUUUGAUUAGAUAGUUGGUGGGGUAAUGGCCUACCAAGUCUACGAUCAAUAGCUGGUUUGAGAGGAUGAUCAGCAACACUGGGACUGAGACACGGCCCAGACUCCUACGGGAGGCAGCAGUGGGGAAUCUUAGACAAUGGGCGCAAGCCUGAUCUAGCCAUGCCGCGCGAGUGACGAAGGCCUUAGGGUCGUAAAGCUCUUUCGCCAGAGAUGAUAAUGACAGUAUCUGGUAAAGAAACCCCGGCUAACUCCGUGCCUGCAGCCGCGGUAAUACGGAGGGGGUUAGCGUUGUUCGGAAUUACUGGGCGUAAAGCGUACGUAGGCGGAUUGGAAAGUAGGGGGUGAAAUCCCAGGGCUCAACCCUGGAACUGCCUCCUAAACUAUCAGUCUAGAGUUCGAGAGAGGUGAGUGGAAUUCCAAGUGUAGAGGUGAAAUUCGUAGAUAUUUGGAGGAACACCAGUGGCGAAGGCGGCUCACUGGCUCGAUACUGACGCUGAGGUACGAAAGUGUGGGGAGCAAACAGGAUUAGAUACCCUGGUAGUCCACACCGUAAACGAUGAAUGCCAGACGUCGGGGGGCUUGCCCUUCGGUGUCACACCUAACGGAUUAAGCAUUCCGCCUGGGGAGUACGGUCGCAAGAUUAAAACUCAAAGGAAUUGACGG